AGUGAACGCUGGCGGUAGGCCUAACACAUGCAAGUCGAACGGCAGCACAGUAAGAGCUUGCUCUUACGGGUGGCGAGUGGCGGACGGGUGAGGAAUACAUCGGAAUCUACUUUUUCGUGGGGGAUAACGUAGGGAAACUUACGCUAAUACCGCAUACGACCUACGGGUGAAAGCAGGGGAUCUUCGGACCUUGUGCGAUUGAAUGAGCCGAUGUCGGAUUAGCUAGUUGGCGGGGUAAAGGCCCACCAAGGCGACGAUCCGUAGCUGGUCUGAGAGGAUGAUCAGCCACACUGGAACUGAGACACGGUCCAGACUCCUACGGGAGGCAGCAGUGGGGAAUAUUGGACAAUGGGCGCAAGUCUGAUCCAGCCAUACCGCGUGGGUGAAGAAGGCCUUCGGGUUGUAAAGCCCUUUUGUUGGGAAAGAAAAGCAGCAGGUUAAUACCCCGCUGUUCUGACGGUACCCAAAGAAUAAGCACCGGCUAACUUCGUG
This 492-nucleotide ribosomal RNA is filed under the name uncultured bacterium. RNAcentral describes it as "partial 16S ribosomal RNA". It matches the Rfam family "Bacterial small subunit ribosomal RNA", at positions 29 to 507 of the family's 1533-position model. The record is from RNAcentral.